Molecule: ribosomal RNA, 172 nt
Filed under: Clostridiales bacterium
Lineage: Bacteria; Bacillati; Bacillota; Clostridia; Eubacteriales
Description: partial 23S ribosomal RNA
Rfam family: Bacterial large subunit ribosomal RNA
Source: RNAcentral
CCGGCGCGGAUAAACGCUGAAGGCAUCUAAGCGUGAAGCCGCCCUCAAGAUUAGAUUUCCCAUCACUAUAAGUGAGUAAGGUCCCUUGCAGACCACAAGGUAGAUAGGCGGAAGGUGUAAGUAUGGUAACAUACUCAGCUGAUCCGUACUAAUAGACCGAGGGCUUGUCCUU